RNAcentral lists this ribosomal RNA (159 nucleotides) under Sarcodontia pachyodon. RNAcentral describes it as "5.8S ribosomal RNA". It matches the Rfam family "5.8S ribosomal RNA". Rfam says of the family: 5.8S ribosomal RNA (5.8S rRNA) is a component of the large subunit of the eukaryotic ribosome. It is transcribed by RNA polymerase I as part of the 45S precursor that also contains 18S and 28S rRNA. The record is from RNAcentral. Lineage: Eukaryota; Fungi; Basidiomycota; Agaricomycetes; Polyporales; Meruliaceae.
CAACUUUCAGCAACGGAUCUCUUGGCUCUCGCAUCGAUGAAGAACGCAAGCGAAAUGCGAUAAGUAAUGUGAAUUGCAGAAUUCAGUGAAUCAUCGAAUCUUUGAAUGCACCUUGCGCCUCCCGGUAUUCCGGGAGGCAUGCCUGUUUGAGUGUCAUGG